RNAcentral lists this ribosomal RNA (254 nucleotides) under uncultured Delftia sp. RNAcentral describes it as "partial 16S ribosomal RNA". It matches the Rfam family "Bacterial small subunit ribosomal RNA", at positions 99 to 355 of the family's 1533-position model. Lineage: Bacteria; Pseudomonadati; Pseudomonadota; Betaproteobacteria; Burkholderiales; Comamonadaceae. The record is from RNAcentral.
CGAACGGGUGAGUAAUACAUCGGAACGUGCCCAGUCGUGGGGGAUAACUACUCGAAAGAGUAGCUAAUACCGCAUACGAUCUGAGGAUGAAAGCGGGGGACCUUCGGGCCUCGCGCGAUUGGAGCGGCCGAUGGCAGAUUAGGUAGUUGGUGGGAUAAAAGCUUACCAAGCCGACGAUCUGUAGCUGGUCUGAGAGGACGACCAGCCACACUGGGACUGAGACACGGCCCAGACUCCUACGGGAGGCAGCAGCC